CAUUGGUAAGCUGGGACUGCCUGAUUGUAGACAUUUAAGUGAUGUCUGCGUGCUUUGUAAAGAGUGCCCUUCAGCCAGCUGCCCGGCUGGUCACCCCUUCAACCAGCUCUGGUACCAAGCACUGAAAGUGUUUUCACCCUGCCAUGUAAGUAGCAUGAUCUCCAUUCUCCCUGGUAAAGCUGAGGCCGAGGGCAGUGAGGCGAGCGGCCCAAGAGGCCCACAGCAGGUGAGUAAAUCCCACCUUUGAGCUGAGAUCUGAAGUCAGGUUUAUGCAUCUUAUUGCAAAGCCCAGAUCUUCUUCAGUUCCUCGCCCUCCCCCAGGAGAAAAUGGAAAGGAAAAGCCAUUGAGAGCAGGAGGGUGAUUCCUACGAGGGGGUACAGGAGGUGGAGGUUUGAAGCAGGAGCUGCAAUAAGCAGAGUCAGAGACCCGGUGGGUUGGCUAGGAGGCUGGGUGCCAGCAGUACUGCCACACGGCCCAGGUUGGGUGAGGGGAGUAGGGUGGUGCCCGCUUGGGCUCCUGGAUGUGGGAGGGUAAAGCUGCCUGGUCCUGGAGAGGGGGGCUGUGUGUGUGAUGCUGGGGCUCCCUCCUCUAUAUGCAGCCACACCAGCAGUGCCCGUGGAAAGGGUGGCUGUGCCUGGAGUCUGGCAGAAAGGCUGGGGCCCAAGAGGAGUCCUUGAAGGAGAAAUCUCUCCUUCUGCCCUAGAUUGGAGGCUGCAGAAAGUCAUUUGGACCAAGUGGGGGCAGGAUGCCGAGGGCAGAGGAGCUGGCUCCCGUUGGUCCCCUUUCUUUCCUCAUCUCCCUUCCCUCUGAACCCCAGUCCAGGGCCCAGGAGGGCUUGGCAGCCUGUUCCUGGCCUCCCCAGCAGAGGGCUCCAGAGCAGAGCUCAGGAUGGCCAUGGGGAGGGAGCAGCAGAAAGCAUGGACAGUCCGCCCUGCUCACAGGUGUCUAGGUCACAGGUGCUCUUUACUGGUGCACAGGUGUGUCUGUCUAUGUGUGCACCCAUGUGGGUGUGUGCAAGUGUGUACAGUAGACAUAUGUUGUUGUGUGGGCAUGUCAGUGUCGGCACGCGGGCACGACUGCCUGCCUGUGUGUUGGGUGGUAUCUAUUCACAUGUGUUUGCUCAUUUUCUCUUUGCACACGCCAGCACUACUGUGGUCCUUGUGCAUAGUUGUGUGCAUGCGGGUGUCUGUAUGCUUUGUGCAUGGGUGUCUCUGGUUGGCCUUGUGCGGAGAAAGCUGAAAAAUUACUGACAAGGUGUGCUGUGGAAUCUCAUCAUUCUCGAGGACAAGGAUGAGGGACCCCCUGCUCCUUCUGUGCCAUCUGACAUUCACACCCUGACCCAGCCGCCUGACUCCUGCCCUCAAUCAACACAGCCCCUGAAUUUGUUUGUUAAAAUCUCAUUUACAGCAGGUGUAGUUGACAUCCAGUUCCCAGGAAGCAAGUACUUCCAGAGCUGUGUGUGUGUAUGUUCUGGUUCCCUCAUUUGCAGCUCGAAAAUGUUUCUUUUCCAGCAUUUCCAUUGUGGCUCAGAGAGUUAAGAACCCAACUAGUAUCCAUGAAGAUGUGAGUUCGAUCCCUGCCCUUGCUCAUUGGGUUAAGGAUCCGGUGUUGCUACAAGCUGCAGCAUAGAUCACAGAGGAAGCUCGGAUAUGGCUUUGCUGUGACCGUGCUAUAGGCCAGCAGCUGCAGCUCCCAUUCAGCCCCUAGCCUGGGAACCUCCGUAUGGUGCAGGUACAGUCCUGAAAAGCAGAAACAGAAAAUGCUCUUCUUCUUGUUGGGAAUGAGGAGCAGAGCCCCAGAGAAUGCGGGGAAGGUAGAGGGCUGCAGUGGAGAAACAGCAGGCUGGUAGCUGGUUCAUCCAUAGCUGAAGGGAGGCAGCGGCCAUGGGGGCAAGGUCUUGGCCCAGAAGUCUGGGGGGCCCUGGACGGGGCCCAGCUCUGCUACCAGCUGGAGGCCCUGGCUGAUGGGAAGCAGCCCCUCCUGUGGUGGUCUGUGCUGCUGUUCAGCCAGGGCCAUUGGGGAGAACAAAUGGGGUACUCCCCUCACCCUGUGUCGUGUGGAAAAGGCACUUGUCGAAGGGAGUGCGGUCGAGGAUGGCGCCCACCUCAGGAUGGGAGGCUGUAUUGGUUUCCUGUCGCUCCUGUGACAGCUCACCACGAACUUAGUGGUUUAAAAUAAUCCGCAUUUAUUUUACAAUCCUGGGGACCACAAGUCCAAAAUCAGCCUCACCAAGCUAAAGUCAAGGGAUUGGCAGUGCUGUGUGCCUUUUGGAGGCUCUAGGGGAAAUGGGUCUCCUUGCCUUUUCCAGAUUCUAGAAGCUGCCUGCAUCCCUUGGCUUGGGGCCCCUUCCUCCUUCGUGCUGUCACAUCGCCUUUCUAUUGCUUUGGCCUCUUGCCUCCCUCUGGGAAGGACCCUGGUGAUUACCCUGGACCCUCCCAGAUAAUCCAGGACAGUCUCCUCAUCUCAAGCUCCUUGACAUGAUCACAUCUGCCAAGUCCUUUUGGCUGUGAGGUUAACAUUUGUUCACAGGUUCUGGGGAGUAGAUAUGUGGGCCUCUUUUGGGGCCACUGUUUUGUCUACUACCUAGAGAAAUCACAGACAAGCUGGCCAAAGUGGGUAACAGUCUUUUUAAAUUUUUUAUUGGAAUAUGGGCUGACUUACAAAAUUGUGUUAAUUUCAGGUGUACGACAAAGUAAAUCAAUUACACAUAUACAUAUAUCCGUUCCUUUUGACAUUCCUUUUUUUUUUCUCUUCUUUUUUAGGGCAGCCCCUGGGGCAUAUGGACGUGCCCAGGUUACUGGUUGAAUCAGAGCUAUAGCUGCUGGCCUACACCAUAACCAUAGCAACGUGGGAUCCGAACUGCCUCUGUGGCAUACACCGCAGCUUGUGGCCACGCAGGAUCCUUAACCUGCUGAGCAAGGCGCAGGGAUGGAACCUGUGUCCUCAUGGAUACUAUUUGGGCUCUUAACCCUCUGUGCCACAACGGGAACUCCCCCUUUGGAUAUUCUUGAUCCUCCUGCGGUUUCACUGAGGCACCAGUGGGACCCUCACUCCUGCCGAGGAGCCAUCUGGUCCUGACGUCUCGUCUGGCGGAUUGAGCCCCAGGAACCAGGGUGCGCUGGCUGCCUAAAGGGCCUUUCCUUUCUGCCUGCCUUCCCGGCAGCCCCUGGCCAGGCACCAGCUAUGACCUCAGCCCACACUGACCCUUCGGUUCCCCCCUCACCCCCUCCCAGCCUGCUCCAGAUCCAGCCUCCGGCCCUGUCCAUGCUCCCAGAACACCCCGCGUGACUCGGUUCCUGUUCUGUCACAGCCCCUACUCCCUGCCCCAGAGGCACCCUGGGCUCCAGGCUGCCCACCCGCCACCCAGCCCUCUCCACACGUGUGAAAACCACACGCAUGGGCGCUCUGCAGCUCCCCGCAGGAAAGCCCAGCCGCAAGACCCAGAGCAGAGGAGAGGGGACACACACAAGCGUGCAGGCCAGUGCCAGGGUUUGGGGAUGGGGGGCGGGGAUCCAAUGGAACGACGGGCCUCCCGGAUGCUGUAUCAAGCCAAACUCCCCAGCAGAGUCAGCACCACAUCUGGAAUUAAGCUGGAAAUUCCAAUUGCUCUCUGCUGCUAAAAAAAAAAUGUGUCAAAUCUUCCCAGAGAUUUUGUGGAAGUGGGAAGCGCUGCGGGGCGGUGGAGGGGAGGGGGGAGCGCUCCCUCCACAGGACCCGUGAGCUUUGGGAAAAUCCAGAUGUCACAAUGUGUCCACAGCCCUCUGGCUGAUGGCUCCCCCAGCCUCCCUCAUCUGUGCUCCCUGCCCCGUGAAAAUUAAAGACGCCUGGAGCAGGGGAGGGGCUGUUUCGCUUCUCCCAAGGACCCACACGUCCGUUCAUGUAAGUGCAUGUGAGACUGUGACUUUUUUUGAUAGGGAUUGAGUUAUUUUUUCCUGGAGAGGAAAACGUUGACAUGCCUUUGGUGGAUCGUCCGCCCAGAAAUUUCCAAUGCAUGAAGAAGCUGUGCUCUUCCCUUUGCUCUAACACACACACACACACACACACACACACACACACACACACACACACGCACACACCUUCCAAAGGCCCAGAACUCACUGUGUGGUCUGAGCCCCUUCAGGGCCUCGCUGCACUGCUAGCCCAGCCCCAACCAGUGCGGGAUGGGGAUUCCAUAGAGCUGGGUCUGCAGGGCCAGGGAAGCUUGGACCACUUGCUUGUUCUCAAUCUCUAGGCAAGUGGAUGAAUUUCCUGUUACUGCUGUAACAAAUCACCACAAGCUGAGUGACUUCAACAACACAAAUAUAUUCUCUUACAAUUCUGGAAGUCGGAAGUCCAAAAUCAGCCUCGCUGGGCUAACGUCAAAGCAUCUCCAGGGGAAAAUCCAUUUCCUUGUCUUUUUUCACAUCUAGAGGCUACCUCUAUUCCUUGGCUUAUGGCCCCUCCCUUCUAUAGCAAGCAUCCUUCUCGGGUCCUUAGCCAGAACAUCAGAGGGUCUCUCUCCCCAAGCCUCUUCCCGUUCUGAUACUAACAUCCUAGGUCUCUGGGACCUUGGGGGAAAUGGGCCCGGCCCCUCCCCUCUCUCCUCUUUGCUGAGUCUCUGGGGCUCGUAUUGUCUCUUUUUGUCCUCUUCCUCCAGCCCAGGAGUCUGACAUCCCAGGCUGGGGCUUUUGCCCCUCAGUUUCAUUCUCAACAAGUGAAGAAUUCAUCCCAGCCCCAACUUAGUUUAGGAUCUGAAUUAUACUUUUCUCCAAGGCAGGGCUCUCGACUGCCCAGCUGUCAUGCGGGGGCCAAGGAUCCUGAUCCCGAUUCAAGGAUGUUGGGUGGGUAUCCAAGACGUCCAAAUGGAGGGGCAGGGAUGCGGGUACCCUUCCUGGCAGUGGUCCUUACCAGCCUGACCUCCCAGAGCUCAGGCCACCCGGUCACAGCGUGACAUUGAAAGUCCCUCGCCAGGGAGAGAGGGAUGAGGCUGACCCAGCCUGGGUAGUCCCAUGGGACCCAAUAGUACAGACUGGUGUCCUUGGUGGCCUCCCGAGUAAAGAGCCUCUUUGAGCCAGACCUUCCUUCUUCCUUUUCUUUCUUCCUUUCCCUCCCUUCCUUUUUGUCUGACCCAGUGCCUGGUCCUUUGUCAGGCACAGGAUAAGAGCUGGAAGGGCUCGGUCCCCCAGCCUGUGAGAAGCACUGCCCAUAGCCCCUCCCAAGCAGUGAGAGUUCCCAAGUGUGGAAGCCAAAUGGGGCUGCCCGAGGUGCCAGGAGGGCUUCCUGGGGCUGGUGGUGCUGCAUUUUCCACCCUCAAACACACUAAAACACUGAGCCACCCGCACACGCCAUGUGAGGGGAGGCAGCCACGCUUCGGCUCGUGCUCUUCCCACUGCUCGACAUCUUUCCACUUGCCUCUCCUGGAUAGCUCUGGCUCAGGUGCCACCUCUUCCAGGAAGCCUUCCCUGAAGUCUGGGGAGGUUGAAUCUCCUCCUUGAUUCUCCUAGCGCCCCACAGAGAGGCUCCUCGUGUCCAAGCCAGAAACUGAUUUUAUGCUGCAGUCAAGAGAAAGCCUCGGCCUUGGAGGGGCCUAGAGUGGGAGGGGGACAGUGUCUGGUGAAAUGGCACUGGGCUCUGCUGAGCCUGCUUUUUUUUGAGCCGAUGGGCCCUUACAGAUCCCCCAGUCCAUCGUCCUUUCCGGAUAGUGGUGCUGGGACCAGAAAACCCUUCUCCUGGUUUUAGCCCUCUGUCCUUCCCAUGACCCAUCCCAUCUUGAUGGGGGCUGUGUCCUGACCACCUCAGUGUCCGUGAGUGCUUGGUGAACCAACAUGCGGGGGUGCUCAUGGGGGAACUGAACCCGCCAGAGACAAGUGUUUCGGAGGCACAUGGCAUUGAUGUCACCAUUUGGUCACAUGCUGUCCUAACUCUCAAAGUGGAGCCUAGGUUUCACAUUAUCCCUUUAUGGCAGAGAUGCUAAGAGAAAGAUGGGUCUGAGUUCCAGCUUGGCCUCUUCUGAGCUGUGUGACCUCUUUGAGAAACAUCUGGAUCCGAGAUCCAGCUUGGCCUCUUCUGAGCUAUGUGACCUCUUUGAGCUCCCACAUCCUCAUCAGCAAAACGGGGACCCGCGCUGGACAGACCUUUGUUUUGAUGAUUAAAUAAGAUGACAUAUGCCAAGUUCCCAUUGUGGCACAGCGGAAAUGAAGCUGACUAGUGACCAUGGGGUUGCAGGUUUGAUCCCUGGCCUUGCUCAGUGGGUUGAGGAUCUGGCGUUGCCGUGAGCUUUGAUGUAGGUUGCAGACGUGGCUAGGAGCCAGUGUGGCUGUGGCUGUGGUGUAGGCCUGCAGCUGUAGCUCUGAUUCGAUUCCUAGCCUUGGAACUUCAUGUGCCAAGGGUAUGGCUGGCCCUAAAAAGCAGUAAAUAAAUAAAUAAGAUAACGUAUGAGAAGUCAGCAAUUCUCUGGCACAUAGAUAUGCAUCCGAAUAGUGGCUAAAUAUUCUCCUUCUUCACAAUUUCAUUCUAGGGGCUCAACCUUCUGGAAUCAGGAAAAUUGUCUGAUUAAGUGGAUUCAUGCUGAUUCCAGCCUCAGCUCUAUGCAAAGAGAUUCUGAUUCCCUAAGUCUGGGAAGAGUUCCCAAACUCAUUAUUUUAUUUGUCUUUAUUUUUAAAUAAACAUCCUGGGUGAUCCUGAUGCUUAGCCAGGUUUAGAAGCCACUGGAAUAAGUGAUGAUGGGGUUUUAUGUUCAUAAAGACCAACUUGUGUCCUCAAAAGUAGGGUUUUAGCUUAGAGGUACCUUCCCACGGCCCCUGGAACCACAGCAGGUGGGACCCUCUCUCUCCCCAUGGGGGGAGGGGGUGGCAUCCCUCCAGAGCAGCCCCACAGGAAGGGAUGGGGGCCGCGCCAGCUGUGUCCCCUCCUGCAGCUGUUUCAGUGCCAUAGCCCCGUGGAAACCACUGUGAAAUUCAUUCUCCACAUCUCCCGAAGUUGGGCCAGGUGGCUACUGGCUGGGGCAGCUGAUCCCACCCGACAAGAGGCCUGCGAGCCAGGGAAAUACAGCCACCCGCCUCCACUCAGCACAGGGCCCCCCGUUCCACCCUCCCGGGCCAGUAAGUGCUUUUUGUCCCAGAUCAACUCAAAUCCUCCCCCGGGAAAACUUUUCUUUCCUCAGGAAGCACCCAGCUCUUGCCUUGCUGCAGGUUCUCUCAGGGCUGUCUGGCUCUGGAACCUGGUCAGGACUGGAUCCCGCCUCCCAGGGACCCCUGAGGCCUGGGGCUGAGUUGGCUGCUCUGGGAAAAUGCAAGCGGAGGAGGGGGAAAGCUGCAGAUUCCACUCAUCCGCCCGAGAAUGGCAGCGGGCCGGAGCUCUCCCUGCAGCAGGGAGCUGAGCUUUUUAUGAGCUGCACGGAGCUACAGAAGCAGGGAUUUGGCUGAGGAAGAAGGGAAAGGCCCAGAAUGAGAGCACUGUCCUCCGUCAAGGACACAGGACUGUUGACGUGGGAGAGAUGGGCGCAGCCUCUGGAUCAAGUCCACGGGAAGGAGGAAAUGGUUUUCACUGAAAAACAAAGUUGAAAAACAGUUUACUGAAGGGACAAGAAGGAGGAAAGGGGGUGGGGAACCACCUCAAACUGUCUGAUCAUCAAAAUCACCUAGUCAGUUAAAAAUACAGAUUCCAGUCCUCGUUCCAAGUCAAUAAAAUAUUAUUCUUGGU
Molecule: long non-coding RNA, 7681 nt
Filed under: Sus scrofa (pig)
Lineage: Eukaryota; Metazoa; Chordata; Mammalia; Artiodactyla; Suidae
Description: lncRNA (ENSSSCG00005012813.1)
Source: RNAcentral